GGUCUAUUAGCUUAGUUGCUUAGAGAGUCAUGUUAAUAACUUGAAAGUCACAGGUUCGAUCUCUAGUGGCUUAUGGAUCUGUAUGAGGCUUACA
Molecule: transfer RNA, 94 nt
Filed under: Glycine max (soybean)
Lineage: Eukaryota; Viridiplantae; Streptophyta; Magnoliopsida; Fabales; Fabaceae
Also listed under: 1 other name
Description: tRNA-Ile
Source: RNAcentral